This 804-nucleotide ribosomal RNA is filed under the name uncultured bacterium. RNAcentral's name for it is "bacterial SSU rRNA". It matches the Rfam family "Bacterial small subunit ribosomal RNA", at positions 97 to 913 of the family's 1533-position model. The record is from RNAcentral.
GGCGAACGGGUGAGUAACACGUGAGCAACCUGCCCUUCUCAUCGGAAUAAGCGUUGGAAACGACGUCUAAUGCCGAAUACGACCUCCGAAGGCAUCUUCAGAGGUGGAAAGCUCCGGCGGAGAAGGAUGGGCUCGCGGCCUAUCAGCUAGUUGGUGGGGUAACGGCCCACCAAGGCGACGACGGGUAGCCGGCCUGAGAGGGUGACCGGCCACACUGGGACUGAGACACGGCCCAGACUCCUACGGGAGGCAGCAGUGGGGAAUAUUGGACAAUGGGCGAAAGCCUGAUCCAGCAACGCCGCGUGAGGGAUGACGGCCUUCGGGUUGUAAACCUCUUUCAGCACCGACGAAGCGAAAGUGACGGUAGGUGCAGAAGAAGGACCGGCCAACUACGUGCCAGCAGCCGCGGUAAUACGUAGGGUCCGAGCGUUGUCCGGAAUUAUUGGGCGUAAAGGGCUCGUAGGCGGUUUGUCGCGUCGGGAGUGAAAACUCAGGGCUCAACCCUGAGCGUGCUUCCGAUACGGGCAGACUAGAGGUAUGCAGGGGAGAACGGAAUUCCUGGUGUAGCGGUGGAAUGCGCAGAUAUCAGGAGGAACACCGGUGGCGAAGGCGGUUCUCUGGGCAUUACCUGACGCUGAGGAGCGAAAGCAUGGGGGAGCGAACAGGAUUAGAUACCCUGGUAGUCCAUGCCGUAAACGUUGGGCGCUAGGUGUGGGGACCUUCCACGGUCUCCGUGCCGCAGCUAACGCAUUAAGCGCCCCGCCUGGGGAGUACGGCCGCAAGGCUAAAACUCAAAGGAAUUGA